This is a non-coding RNA of Cherax quadricarinatus, 1125 nucleotides long. Lineage: Eukaryota; Metazoa; Arthropoda; Malacostraca; Decapoda; Parastacidae. The record is from RefSeq and is a predicted model, not a curated record.
GAACCAUUUCUUACAGAGGAAGAUUGUACAUUGUCGCAUAUGUAUUCCACUGUACAGGUAAGUUAAUAAACAAAGGUAUACAAGAGCAUAUAAACUAUACACAAAAUAAUUAUUACAUAUACAUUAAGGUAUUCAUAAAUGAGAAAAAGACACUGAGACAAUACAAAACAAAUUUCAUUGAGAUGAAACUAAUAUAUAGAAAAGUCAAAAUGUACAGAGAAACUGAGUGAAUGCAGUUAUAUACAAUACUUAUGAGCAAUUAUGAUUUCAACAAGCAAAAACUCUCUCUGAAAAUUACAACAGAGAGAAAUUUGCAAUUAAUAUGUGAUCUUUUCCUUACUUUGCAGUGCCCAAAGCCAAGAACAGACUCGACCCUCUCAACCACAACUGCACUUGCACAUGUGACUUGUACAAAAAUAUACAAACUCUGAAGAUGCAGGAUAUUUGAUUAUGUACUGAUACUCUGGCAGGAUUGUCAGUAAUAUGCAGUGUUAGUACCUGGUGAGAAGGUCUCCAGCUGUCAUUCGAGAAUUGAGUUUGACUGGGUAAUUGGUCUUGUUGAACUGCGGUGCCGACACUCUGAGCACUCCCUCCUGGUAGUCUACUUCAUUUUCAAUGGGCCGCUGGAUUGUCUCUUUACUUUUACGGGACAACAGCAGGCGACGCAUCUUUAAUGCACACACCAAAAAGGAGUGUAGUUGUGUUGUUUGAGGGCCUCAGCUUGGUAUUGGCGGCGUAUCUGAGCUACCAAGCGGUGUGGGACCGUCCACAGGACAUCACGCACACAGCUCCAGGAGGGCAUGGAGAGUGUCGCGGUGUGGUGAUGGCAGCAGUAGGAUCAACAUGCAGACACAGAGAUGUCAACUACAAGGCACUGGUAGAGUAACUAUUGCAAAGUUAUCAACAACCUGGCUACAACAUGUCACUCAAACUAUUUCCUUCAGUCUUGUUUUUAUUCUGGUAACUAAUGGGACAAGAGUGAUGAGCAUGGAGAAAAGUUCAAUCAAGAUGUUGCAGCAGUGGCAACACACUACAAAGUUUUCUCCACCGGUGAUGAAUAUUGUGCUCUGUGAAGAGAAUAUCAAGCUCCCAAAAGGGCUAAAGAAGUCAGUUUAUGAAGGGCAG